Molecule: unclassified non-coding RNA, 337 nt
Filed under: soil metagenome
Description: partial contains 5.8S ribosomal RNA, internal transcribed spacer 2, and large subunit ribosomal RNA
Rfam family: 5.8S ribosomal RNA (bases 1-120)
Source: RNAcentral
GAUGAAGAGCGUAGCGAAAUGCGAUAAGUAGUGUGAAUUGCAGAAUUCAGUGAAUCAUCGAAUCUUUGAACGCACAUUGCGCCCCUUGGUAUUCCAUGGGGCAUGCCUGUUCGAGCGUCAUUUGUACCUUCAAGCCUUGCUUGGUGUUGGGUGUUUGUCUCGCCUCUGCGCGCAGACUCGCCUCAAAACAAUUGGCAGCCGGCGUAUUGAUUUCGGAGCGCAGUACAUCUCGCGCUUUGCACUCAGAACGACGACGUCCAAAAGUACAUUUUUACACUCUUGACCUCGGAUCAGGUAGGGAUACCCGCUGAACUUAAGCAUAUCAAUAAGCGGAGGA